Molecule: ribosomal RNA, 1203 nt
Filed under: Triticum aestivum (bread wheat)
Lineage: Eukaryota; Viridiplantae; Streptophyta; Magnoliopsida; Poales; Poaceae
Description: partial small subunit ribosomal RNA
Source: RNAcentral
AUGGCGGGCAUGGAUCACGCGCCGCCAGGCUUCCGCUUCACGCCGACGCAGGAGGAGCUCAUCCUCUACUACCUCGACCCUUGGGUGGCUGACCCGGGAAAGACGCCGGACGGCGAGCGCCUUGGCAUCGUCUGCGUCGCCGACGUCUACGGCGAGGACCCGGCCGCCCUCACGUCGCGGCACUGGCGUUUCGGCCACGACGACGGCAACUGGUACUUCCUCUGCGUGGCGCGAUGGAAGGGUAACCGCGCGGGCGGCCGGGCCAGCCGCACCGUCCAGGGCGGCGGCACGUGGCACGGGUCCGGCAAGCGGGUCGCCGUCGCCGGGGCCGGGCACCGGGUGCACCAAACGACGAGGACGGCGGAGGAUGAAGAGCGUGGGGAGUCCAGCAAGGCCGCCCGGUCUUCUAAGAGACGACGCCGCGGGGAGCAUGACAUCGCCACACGUGCAAUAAAGCCAUUGGAGAUGUUUGCCAUGGAGGACAAGCCGGAGGCACUGGAGCAAGUCUUCGCCAAGGACGAACCAGAGUCAUGGGAGAUCCUUGCCAUGGAGGACGAGCCAGAGCCAUGGGAGAUGAUAACCUUGGAGGACGAACUAGAGCCAUGGGAGAUGAUUACCAUGGACAAGCCAUCUCCACUUCAAAUGCUAACCAACAACAUGACAUGUCCACAGGAGAUGCUCACCAACAACCUGCCAUGGCCACUGGAGAUGCUUAGCAAGAACUUCCCACUGCCACUGGAGAUGCUUACUAACAACUUGGCAUCGCCAUUGGAGACCCUUAGCAAGAACUUGCCAGAGCCAGCGGAGACCGUUACCAAGAACUUGCCAUCUCCAUUGGAGAUCCUUGGCAAGAACUUGCCAAAGUUGGACAUCCUUACCAAAGAGGAACCCACGACGACGACGACAGCCUUCGAUCAAGACUCCGGCGCGGCGAACAAAGAAGCCACCCCUAACGCGGAGAUGGAGAUGCCGGCCGAUGCCGAGUGGCACUUGCACUACCCAGAACUGUUCGAGCAGCAAGAGCCUCCGCCCAUGGAAGACGUCAUGAAGCCUCUGCCAGCGCCGACGGUCCAAGAAUUUGAGCAGGGAGCCUCUCCGGCGACGGUCCAAGAACUCGGCGCCGCUGCUUGGGGUUGGGGAGGCCAUGGCCGGCGCUGCUUAGUGAGGCCUAUAUCGUUAGCUUGGAUACUACCUGGUUUUUGA